GGAUUCCUUUUAAAAUUGGGCAGCCCAAGAAACAGAUUGUGCCCAAAACAGUGGAGAGAGACUUUGAAAGGGAGUAUGGAAAACUUCAGCAGCUGGAAGAGCAGACCCGGAGGCUGCAGAAAGACAUGAAGAAGAGCACCGACGCCGACCUGGCCAUGUCAAAAUCUGCCGUGAAGAUAUCCUUGGACUUACUCUCCAAUCCCCUCUGUGAGCAAGACCAGGACCUUCUGAACAUGGUGACGGCCCUGGACACGGCCAUGAAGCGGAUGGAUGCCUUCAAUCAGGAAAAGGUGAACCAGAUCCAGAAGACUGUGAUCGAGCCCUUAAAAAAGUGAGUAAAUGUCACCUGGGGGCCUCGGGGCACUUAUGGGAGAGGCAGGUCAGCGGCCACUUGGGGACUGAAGAGGAUUUCUAGCUGCCUGUCCCCAGAUUCCCAUGGGGCCUGACGGGAAACUCAGUGGGGACGUCAGCUCUGUGACCUGUGGCCUAAGCGUCCAUGCUCCUGAGGGCUCCAGAGUACCCACAUGGCCCAGGCGAGCUCAGGGUACCCCUGCCACCACCCCCUUCCCACCCCACCCAGCAACCGCCGCU
Molecule: small RNA, 591 nt
Filed under: Pan troglodytes (chimpanzee)
Lineage: Eukaryota; Metazoa; Chordata; Mammalia; Primates; Hominidae
Description: retained intron
Source: RNAcentral